AUCAUUUGUGACCUUAAAUACAGCUGUGGUGGCAGCUGGGUCAUCCCGCUAAUCUUCCUUUUAUAAACUUUUCCAAGUCAAAGAGGUCCACCAGAAUCCUAGGGCUGCUUCCCCAGAACUUAUAUAAAGAAAUGAACCUGAACUCAAGGGGUGGACUGUCGUGGACACCACUGCACUGCCCAGAACCCCAGCUAGGACUGAAAGUCUAAUUUCACCAGCUGCAAGUAGUAUUGAUAACUGAUAGCUCUGACCUCUCACUGACCUCAGGUGAAGAGAGAAACUUUCCCUAGUAAACCCCUUUGGGGCAGUAACCUGCAUUCAACAACUAUUUGCUGAGGAUAUAAAAAUCCAGCCCCCCUUACUCCAAUGCAGGACAACUCUGAAAGAUCAUCUCAGUUCAGAGCUUUCUGUGGGAUGAAAUGAGGCCACUGUUGUGACUGCAGCCAGCCGAAGUUGUCUGCCUGGCCAAUUCUCCUUCCUUCUCUUCUACCAAUGUUAAAAUCGAGAGCCACACUAAUAAGAGUCUACAUUAAUCUCAUUUGCAGAGUUGGCUUCCUGGGAGAACUGACCUGAAACAGGAUUAAGUGAAAUGAUGUUCCUCAAGUGCCUGACAUCCAAAAGGAGCUCAUCACAGGUGGUUGUGGUCUAAUAUAGCUAAGAAAACAUCCAUUUCAAUCAGCAGUAAUACUGAGAGCAAUAAUAACAAUACCUAUUAUAACUAAGUGCUUACCCAACAGUAAACUAAGUGCUUUACAUACAUUAACUCAUCUUAUCCUUUCAACAAGUCCAUUAUAAUCCACAUUUUACAGAAAAGUAAAGGAGGCACAUGGGAGUUAAUUAACUUCUCCAAGUUCACAUGCUUAUCCAUUAUGCUUUACCAGCCUUGGUUUGGAUAUGGCUAUAAAAGAGAUAUAUUUUAAGAGAAGUUUAAGAAUAAUCCUUCUACUUUUUAAGUCUCUUCAGCCUAAAACCUGAAUCUUUUAACAUGGCAAAGAUUUUUUUUGCUUCUGUACUUGAACUUCCCCAAAUUCAUUGAAAAUUUUCAUCUGAAGUUAUUUGGAGAAGGGAAGAGGAGCUAGUCAUUUUAAAGAAGCAAAUUGCAAAUAAUAACUUGUCUGUAAAAUUAAUCCUCCUUAGAGAACAUAUAUGUCAUAGGCAUAAAGUGCUUCUGAGAAACAUAGUUGUCUAGUGACUGGCACUGAACCGAGACCCCAACUUUCAUUAUAGUUUGUCCAAAUUUCAGCUGGCAGAUGUCUGGCCAUCUUGACUGUGCUUGGCUGAAUUUCAGUAAUGCUGAGAGGAUCAAUAUUCCUGCUACUUCACAUAACUCAUUGUACUGGAUUUAGUUGAGACCUGUCAGUCCUGUAUUUUAUGUUGCCAGUAACCAAAUCAAUACAAAAUGAUUCAGCAAGUGUUUAGUGAGUGCCUGCUACAUGCUGGGCAUUGUAGUGGCACUACCACUAGGAACACACAAACAAUACAUUCCUCAAAGAACUUACCAUCCAAGCACAUGGAUUUCAAACUUCAGCUAUUCCUAUACCACCUCCAACAUUUUGGACAUAUUUGCAUGCUAUGCAUACUAUAUUAUUUUAUUGGAGUGUAGUUGACUUACAGUUGUGUACUGUUUUCAAGUAUAUAACAUAGUGUUUCGAUAUUUUUAUAUAUUGCAAAAUGCUCACCACAAUAAAUCUAGUUACCGACACCAUACAAAAUUAUUACAAUAUUAUUGAUUACUCUUUGUGCUGUGGAUCACAUCCCCAAGACUUAUUUAUGCUAUAACCAGAAGUUUUGCACUAUCAUAUUCCUACCAUAUUUUUUAAUCGUCUUCUUUUAUUUAAAUACAUUUACUCAAGAGGGAAAGUGUGUAACACCUCUGAAAAAGAUAGGUGUCUCUUGCUACAAAGAAAGGAUGCCCAUAAAAACAAACAUAACUACUAAUAGGUUUUUUUUUUUUAAGAUUAAAUGUUCAAAAUCUAAAAUCAUUGAUGGGAGUUCCGUUGUUGCUCAGCAGUAAUGAACCCGACUAGGAUCCAUGAGGACACGGGUUCGAUCCCUGGCCUUGCUCAGUGGGUUAAGAUACAGCAUUGCCAUGAGCUGUGGUGUAGGUCACAGACGCAGCUUGGACCUGGCAUUGCUGUGGCUAUGGUAUAGGCCAGCGGCUAUAGCUCUGACUCGACCCCUAGCCUGGGAACCUCCAUGUGCUGCAGGUGCGGCCCUAAAAAAAGACAAACAAAUAAAAAUACAGUCAAAUCAUUGAGAAGUUCACCAGUGAUACAUGUUCCAUGUUUGGGAAUUGCUCUCAUAGAAGGAAACAGAUACCAGGAGUACUGAAGAGAGUGAACUCUUUGGUAGAGUAUAAUGAACUGGUAAAAUUCUCAAGCCAAAUUGAUUUGAUUCAAAUCUUAGUUCUGCCACUUAGCUCCAAUUAGCUAAGGAAGUUGAUUUCAGGAAAGUUACUUAACCUCUCUGAUCCUCAAUUUCCUACCUGUAAAUGGGGAUAAUAGAGUAUUUACCUCAUUGGGUUGUUAUCAGGAUUAAAUGAGUUAAACCUCUUAGAACUGUGGCCUACAUGUUACUAUUGCAGCAUGCCUGGUUACGGAAGGAGGGUGUAUGCAGGUAAUUCUCAAUUCUAUUAGGGGACUUAGGGAAGCUUUCACAGAAGAGACGCUCAUGCACACGCCUGAUGAGUAGGUAUUUAUUACGCAAAUAGAAAAGAAAAUGUUGCUUAUUCAAGCAAAGAACCUAAGCUAAAAUAACCUCAUUUUUUUCUCAUCUCUAAUGAACUAAUCUGUAGCAGACACCUUUUAUUUCUUGCCUCCCUCCCUUGCUUUGGUGACAUCAUUUUAUUCUUUCUUUGCAAAACUACCCUUUUCCCACUCUUGGUAUAUGUUAUCUAGGGUAGGACUGAUUCUUUCCCAGCUCUGGGAGUGGGUAUGUGAGUCAGAUCUGCCUAACCAUCCAUCCACCGGGCCACAGAAAUCAGUGUGGUUCAAAUAAAAAAACUGGGGUGAGUCUCAGGACAUUGCGUGGAGCCACUGGAAAGAAGAGUAUAUGGUUUCUUGGGGAUACUCUAAGAUAACACCACAAACUGAGUAGCUUUAAAAACAGAGAUAUAUUAUCUCAGUUCUGGAGGCUAGAUGUCAAAAAUCACGUUGUCAGCAGGGCCAUACUCUCUGGCAAAGUGCUAGGGAAGAAUCUGUGCCAGAUAGUUUCUUGGCUUACGGCAACAAAACUCAGUUUACGUGGCAUUCUCCCCAUGUGCAAAUCUGUGUCUAAAUUAUCCCUUUUUAUAAAGAUACCAGUUGUAUUAAAUUGGGGACCCUGCCUACUUUGGUAUGACCUUGCCUUAACUACUUACACUUACAGUGAUUCUAUUUCCAGAUAAAGUAACAUUUUGAAGUGCUGAGGGUUAAGACUUCAACCUAUGAAUUUGGAGGGGAACAUUUCAACUCAUAACAGAGAAGGUCUAAUUCUCCUGAAUGUAAAGUUGAUAAUAGUUAAAUGUGAUGUUUCUGGGCUUUCUAUAUGGGGAAGAAAUACCCUUCCUGGGAAUGGAGCCACUUCAGAAUAAAGAAGUGUUGAGAAACAGAAAUACAAGUUCCCAGUGUCAUCACUUGAGCACCUGGAUCCAUCCAUGCCUGAAGGUUGUAUCUCUGAAAUUUUCAGGCACAUGAGGGAAUAAUGCCCCCAUUUUUUUUUAAGCUAAGACUAGUGUGAGUUGUGUUUUAUCACAUUAAAUCAAAAUACUCCUUAGUAAAAUAAAACUUUACUAGUUAGAUUGUUUUUUAAAGUUUUGUAAAUAAAUUCCGUGUUCCAUAAGGAAAGAAGAUGGGCUUGUUAGAGAAAUAAGAACUUCAAAACAUGUUUAAGCCAGUUUUAAAGAGCCACCCUCUCCCCUUUCGGUGGAUGCUUUUAUAUCUUGUGUCGUAACUGUUAGUAGUUUGUGACAUUUCUGGUCUGUCCUGGGUGUUACUAGUACCUGACAGGUCAGGCCUGUCACCUCCAUAAAAGCAGUGAGCAUCCAUACCAGGCACUCUAUAGUGUGGAGUCCCUUUGAGAAUUACUAAUGUCACACUAAAUCUCAUCAGCUCUAUUUAUUCUCUCUUCAUCUUUGCCAUUUGAGGCUCUUCAAAAAAAAAGUCUGAUUAUUUUUACAUGAAGAUAGCUUCUCCUUGCUCCUACGAUUUUAAAACUGUAAACCAAAGCUUAAUUCUGGGGGGGGUUAAUUUGUCCUUAUGGCAAGUGUAAUUAAGACGUAAAUCUCUAGGGAGGAAUACCUGGAAAUUAAGGUUAUUGUUGACAUUAUUAUUAAUUAAUAAUUAUCAAAUACUCACUUUAAAAAAAGGAUUAGCCUUUAGAUUUUGAUGGUCUCCAUUAUACUCAUUAGCUAAUGUUGAAAUAAAGAUGAAUGAAUCUUCAAACAGAUGAAUUAAUGAUUAAGGCAGUCCAGAAGAAUUCAACCUAGAUUCUGUAUCCAGCAGGUUUCCGUGUCAGCCCGUAGCACUCUCUAAGCUGGCUAGAUUUUGACUAAGUGUUCAAAUGAGAUUAACUCAUAGAGCAGCAAUUUUGUCAGGAGAUAAAGUCUGAUAAAUAAAGAUGGAAAAAGACAAAGCCAAAUUAAAUCCUUCCAGCAGUAUCCCAUUGAGGGUACCUGGAAGGUGGUAUCAAAAUGCUACCCCUAAUGAAGUUUCAGAAACACUCUUUGCUGAUUUUAUCACACACAGGAGACUUUUCUAGGGAAGCAUCUAAUGAUACAGAUAAGAUCUAUGUACAUGAAUCAAUGAGGAACCUAGACCCUCGGUUUAGAUUUGGUAUGACAGUAUUGUGUGUUAAAUAAAUACCAAUAAAUUAUUAAAACAUAUUGGUUGUAUCGUAACACAGAGGCUUAACAAUGUAUUAUGUCAGCAUGUACAGCUCUCGCUCAGGGAAAUUCUCCAUCUCUUUAAUUCAAGCAUUGACAUCCUGUGCCAGCACAAAGCCUUUUUUAUUUGAGAUUGACACAUGUCUAAAAUUGCUUAGAUUUUGUGUUGUGCUCUUAAUACUUGAAACCCUGCAAAUGAAAUUCUAUGCCACUGUGCAUGAACAA
This 5086-nucleotide long non-coding RNA is filed under the name Sus scrofa (pig). Its description in RNAcentral is "lncRNA (ENSSSCG00000057549.1)". The record is from RNAcentral. Lineage: Eukaryota; Metazoa; Chordata; Mammalia; Artiodactyla; Suidae.